RNAcentral lists this small RNA (778 nucleotides) under Arabidopsis thaliana (thale cress). RNAcentral describes it as "ATSL283910". The record is from RNAcentral. Lineage: Eukaryota; Viridiplantae; Streptophyta; Magnoliopsida; Brassicales; Brassicaceae.
CAGAGGAGAAGGAUGGCUGAUGAAAACUGGAAUCUUCCGCAGGAUUUUCUCAAUCCUCUGAGGCGGCUACGAAGAUGUGUGCUUUAAUUCUGCCAGAUCUAAGAAUAUGGUUACACUGCAGACGAUGAUUAACAGAAGUUGAGUCUUUUUUUUCUAGCAAGAUUCCAGUCAGGGCCGGUCCUGGGCUAAAGCUGGUGAAGUCCAUGCUUUAGGCGCUAAAAAUAUAUCAAGAAUUUUAGGGCAUCAUUUUCGUGAGAAAUGCAUUUAGUGUAGCGGUAGUGUCUUACUUUCUUAGGCAGCAGGUCUUAAGUUUGAGACUAUAUGAGUGUUAUUCGUAAUCUAUAUAUACAUUUUUGCAGCAACUUUGUGAAAUAAAUCCUGGAGUUGGGAUUUAUUUACAGCGGCUGCCACUGGCAUUUUAAUAAUUGUUUUUGAUAAUUAGAAAGAAAAUCUUCUAAUUAAAUAUUUGACAUUUAACAAUCUUCCCAAAAUCUCUCUACUUUAACUACACAAUUAAUUACUAAAAUAAAACUUCCAAAAUAUUUAAUAUCAUUUAAUUACUACAAAAUAUCAUUUUUGAUAUUGCUUUUCUGCAUGAUUAUAAUCAUCAAACCGAGAUAUUUGAUAGAAUUUAAUUACUACAAAAUUACAAAAUAUUUAGACAAUAAUUCAUAAACAUAUCAUAAAUAAGAUCAACAUUAAUAAAAUAAAUGAGUUUGUUUUAGAGGACGGGUUUGGCAGGAUGUUACUUAAUAACAAUUGUAAACUAUAAAAUUAA